RNAcentral lists this ribosomal RNA (423 nucleotides) under uncultured bacterium. RNAcentral's name for it is "bacterial SSU rRNA". It matches the Rfam family "Bacterial small subunit ribosomal RNA", at positions 207 to 622 of the family's 1533-position model. The record is from RNAcentral.
AAGACCUUGCGCUUUUGGAGCGGCCGAUGCCUGAUUAGCUAGUUGGUGGGGUAAUGGCCUACCAAAGCUUCGAUCAGUAGCUGGUCUGAGAGGACGGCCAGCCACACUGGGACUGAGACACGGCCCAGACUCCUACGGGAGGCAGCAGUGGGGAAUUUUGGACAAUGGGGGCAACCCUGAUCCAGCCAUGCCGCGUGAGUGAAGAAGGCCUUCGGGUUGUAAAGCUCUUUCAGUCGGGAAGAAAAGGUUACGGUUAAUACCUGUAAUUCAUGACGGUACCGACAGAAGAAGCACCGGCUAACUACGUGCCAGCAGCCGCGGUAAUACGUAGGGUGCGAGCGUUAAUCGGAAUUACUGGGCGUAAAGGGUGCGCAGGCGGUUCUGUAAGUCAGAUGUGAAAUCCCCGGGCUUAACCUGGGAACU